UUGCUUCGGCAGCAGAUAUACUAAAAUUGGAAUGAUACGGAGAAGAUUAGCAGGGCCCCUGCACAAAGAUGAACGCUACUAUUAAGGAACAUAUACUUUGAAU
Heteronotia binoei (common prickly gecko) is the source of this 103-nucleotide small nuclear RNA. The record is from RefSeq and is a predicted model, not a curated record. Lineage: Eukaryota; Metazoa; Chordata; Lepidosauria; Squamata; Gekkonidae.